UACGUAGGGGGCAAGCGUUAUCCGGAUUUACUGGGUGUAAAGGGGGCGCAGACGGCGAUGCAGGCCAGGAGUGAAAGCCCGGGGCCCGACCCCGGGACUGCUCUUGGAACUGCGUGGCUGGAGUGCAGGAGGGGCAGGCGGAAUUCCUGGUGUAGCGGUGAAAUGCGUAGAUAUCAGGAGGAACACCGGUGGCGAAGGCGGCCUGCUGGACUGCAACUGACGUUGAGGCCCGAAAGCGUGGGGAGCAAACAGG
This 253-nucleotide ribosomal RNA is filed under the name uncultured bacterium. RNAcentral's name for it is "partial 16S ribosomal RNA". It matches the Rfam family "Bacterial small subunit ribosomal RNA", at positions 524 to 776 of the family's 1533-position model. The record is from RNAcentral.